AAAGCAGAGUUUGGCUGUAGACAGAAAUCUCUGCAGCUGCUGACGGACACCAGGAUUCACACUGUGGACCUUUAUUUCUGCAGGACUUCUUCAUUGUACAUAUUCAGGUUCUCUGGAACGGAUUUUCCCACAUCUCUCUUCUCAAAGGAACAAAUGUAGUGGAGAAAGAAAAAACUGCUGGAGCCUCAGAAAUCACAGAGCAGCAGAAAACAAGAAGACAGAGAGAAAAAUGGAGACACAAACCAGUGAAUCAAAAAAGAGAAGAAGACAGAGACUUCAGAGAUGUGGCAGUAUGAACAGAAUAAACCCACAAUUUUCAGGUGAUCCAGACGAGCCUGUAAAGAUUCAUUCUGAUAAUCAAAACCCUUCAGGAUGUUCUGAAGAACAUCACAGAGUUCAGAGUUCAGCUGCUGAAGACCUGAACAUCUUCAUCAUCAUCAUCAGUAGUCUGUUCAGAUCCUGGACUGUUUUUCAGACUCAUCUGAUCACAAACAGACAGACUAAUGAACGUGUUCUUCCUCAGAUCAGUGUCUGAUAACUGGGUUUAUUCCUGCUCUCUUUACUGACGACAUUUGAUCUGCAUCUUCGUCAUACAGAGACUUUUUGUGUUUUACAAAAUAUGUGUUUUGCACUGCCUCAUACAUUUUAUGUAUUAUUUAUGUUUAUAUUCCUGUAUAUUGUGACAUAUUUCCUAGAUUAUAUAUUUCUCUUUAAAUAGAGAAAUAUAACAUUUAUUAAAUCAUCUUUUUUCAUCCUAUUAAAUUUAUGCAAUAUCCAUUAAUAGCUUAAUAUAUUUCAUGCAGUGUUAUUUUAGUACUAUUAUAAAAUAAAACAAAUAGUUUAGUUAGAGCAACGGCAGAGACUGUUUAUUUUCACCACAACAUAUUUUAUUUUCUUACAAGAAGACGAUCUCCGUCCCUCUUUUCUGUGUUCUGUUGUUUUUUGUAUAUAUUUUGUAAAUAAUCAUUUGGUUGUAUUACACUACUGCACUGUAAAUAUGAUUAUUAAAGAGUUAUUAUGAAAAAUCA
This is a long non-coding RNA of Ctenopharyngodon idella (grass carp), 1028 nucleotides long. RefSeq lists it as uncharacterized. The transcript is spliced from 3 exons. The record is from RefSeq and is a predicted model, not a curated record. NCBI's taxonomy places the organism in Eukaryota, Metazoa, Chordata, Actinopteri, Cypriniformes, Xenocyprididae.